GAAAGGAGUUUCAACCAAAACGAAAAACUGCGCCCGAGAUUUAAAAAUCCUUCUAUGCGACCGCAUAGAAGGAAUCUAUGCGGUCGCAUAGUUCAAAUUGUUUGGGUUCAUUGAGUCCCUGAAGCCUUCUAUGCGACCGCAUAGAAGGUUACACUAUGCGGUCGCAUAGAAGUAGCCAUCUAUGUGGUUUGUGCAAUUUGGUCCCUGAACUUCUUUGUUGCUUCUCUUGACUUCUUUCUUCGAUUUCUUCAUCUUUUCAACAAAUUUUAUCUUCCAAUUGAUGAUUGAUACCAUCAAUUCUCAUGCCCCUCAUUCGGCAUAUCUUUUGAGUAUUUGCGCUUUAGUCCUCCAACUUUCAAUUGUCUUCAUUUCAGUCCCUCUUCAAUAUUUUCUUCUUCCAUUUGUUUUGCUUUGUCAUUAAGCUCAUACUUGGCAUGUCUUUCCUCUCG
Molecule: long non-coding RNA, 449 nt
Filed under: Olea europaea (common olive)
Lineage: Eukaryota; Viridiplantae; Streptophyta; Magnoliopsida; Lamiales; Oleaceae
Description: long non-coding RNA (OEUR_LNC006878)
Source: RNAcentral